UACGAAGGGGGCAAGCGUUGUUCGGAAUUACUGGGCGUAAAGGGCGCGCAGGCGGCCGAUCAAGUCAGAUGUGAAAGCCCCGGGCUCAACCUGGGAAUAGCAUUUGGGACUGGUCGGCUAGAGUUCGGGAGAGGAGAGUGGAAUUCCCAGUGUAGAGGUGAAAUUCGUAGAUAUUGGGAAGAACACCGGUGGCGAAGGCGGCUCUCUGGACCGACACUGACGCUGAGGCGCGAAAGCGUGGGGAGCAAACAGG
Molecule: ribosomal RNA, 253 nt
Filed under: uncultured bacterium
Lineage: Bacteria
Also listed under: 1 other name
Description: partial 16S ribosomal RNA
Rfam family: Bacterial small subunit ribosomal RNA
Source: RNAcentral